AUGGGCUAUUUUCUCAGAAAUCAGCCCAGUUUCCUCUUUAUUCUGAUCAUCCUGCACUUUGGGGCCCGUGCAGCAAGAGCGCUAAGUUCAGAUGGUGAAGCACUUCUCGCCUUUAAGAAGGCAAUCACAAAUUCAGAUGGGAUCUUUCUAAAUUGGCACGAACAAGACGCGGAUCCCUGCAACUGGAAGGGUGUUAAAUGCGAUGGUCACAGCAAGAGAGUGAUUUAUCUGAUUCUCCCAUAUCACAAGUUAGUCGGGCCCAUACCACCAGAAGUUGGAAGGCUAAAUCAGCUUCAGACUUUAUCACUACAGGGGAACAGUUUGUAUGGUUCACUCCCUCCCGAGCUAGGAAAUUGUACCAAGUUGCAACAACUAUAUCUACAAGGAAAUUAUAUAAGUGGAUAUAUCCCUUCGGAAUUUGGUGAUCUGGUUGAGCUCGAGACAUUGGACUUAUCCAGCAAUACGUUGAAGGGAUCAAUCCCGCAUUCUCUUGAUAACCUGACCAAACUUGCAUCAUUCAAUGUAUCCAUGAACUUUCUGACAGGAGCAAUACCAUCAGAUGGUUCACUUGCCAAUUUUAAUGAAACUUCCUUUAUUGGGAACCGUGAUUUAUGUGGUAGGCAGAUUAAUUCAGUGUGCAAAGAUGCACUUCAAUCACCAUCAGAUGGCUCCCAGCAGCCUUUGAAAGAUGACACAAAUAAAAGGAGUUCCAGAGUUGUUAUAAGUGCGGUCGCGACAGUGGGAGCUCUGCUAUUAGUGGCUCUGAUGUGUUUCUGGGGUUGUUUUCUGUACAAAAAUUUCGGGAAGAAAGAUAUCCAUGGUUUCAGGGUAGAGCUAUGUGGAGGCUCUUCUGUUGUGAUGUUCCAUGGGGACCUCCCUUACUCCACGAAAGAUAUCCUUAAGAAGUUAGAGACCAUGGAUGAGGAAAAUAUCAUUGGAGCAGGGGGCUUUGGGACCGUGUAUAAACUUGCAAUGGAUGAUGGUAACGUUUUUGCAUUGAAAAGGAUAGUGAAAACAAAUGAGGGGCGUGACAAAUUCUUUGAUAGAGAACUUGAGAUAUUGGGAAGUGUUAAGCACCGUAAUUUGGUCAAUCUCCGUGGCUAUUGCAAUUCCCCUUCAUCGAAACUGUUGAUAUAUGACUACCUUCCAGGUGGAAGCCUGGAUGAAGUGCUACAUGAAAAAACUGAGCAGUUGGAAUGGGAGGCACGCAUUAACAUAAUACUUGGAGCUGCAAAAGGCCUGGCUUACUUGCAUCAUGAUUGCUCACCUCGAAUAAUACAUCGUGAUAUUAAGUCGAGCAAUAUCUUACUGGACGGCAAUUUUGAGGCACGUGUAUCAGACUUCGGACUUGCAAAGCUACUGGAGGAUGAAGAAUCUCAUAUUACUACAAUAGUUGCAGGAACAUUUGGAUAUCUUGCGCCAGAGUAUAUGCAAAGUGGCAGGGCCACCGAAAAGACGGAUGUAUACAGUUUUGGAGUUUUGGUACUCGAGAUACUGAGCGGAAAGCGACCUACUGAUGCAUCAUUCAUUGAGAAGGGGUUGAACAUUGUUGGAUGGCUGAACUUCUUGGCUGGAGAGAGCAGAGAGCGGGAGAUCGUGGAUCCGGAUUGCGACGGCGUGCAGAUCGAGACCCUGGACGCCCUGCUCUCUCUCGCCAAGCAAUGUGUGAGCUCUUUGCCGGAGGAGCGGCCGACGAUGCACAGGGUGGUACAGAUGCUGGAGUCGGAUGUAAUUACACCGUGCGGCAGUGAUUUCUACGAUUCAGAGUAG
Molecule: ribosomal RNA, 1770 nt
Filed under: Triticum aestivum (bread wheat)
Lineage: Eukaryota; Viridiplantae; Streptophyta; Magnoliopsida; Poales; Poaceae
Description: partial small subunit ribosomal RNA
Source: RNAcentral